This 434-nucleotide ribosomal RNA is filed under the name uncultured bacterium. Its description in RNAcentral is "bacterial SSU rRNA". It matches the Rfam family "Bacterial small subunit ribosomal RNA", at positions 28 to 444 of the family's 1533-position model. The record is from RNAcentral.
GAUGAACGCUGGCGGCGUGCCUAACACAUGCAAGUCGAGCGAAGCAUUUUAAAGGAAGUUUUCGGAUGGAAUUUGAAAUGACUGAGCGGCGGACGGGUGAGUAACGCGUGGGUAACCUGCCUCAUACAGGGGGAUAACAGUUAGAAAUGACUGCUAAUACCGCAUAAGCACACAGUACCGCAUGGUACGGUGUGAAAAACUCCGGUGGUAUGAGAUGGACCCGCGUCUGAUUAGCUGGUUGGCGGGGUAACGGCCCACCAAGGCGACGAUCAGUAGCCGACCUGAGAGGGUGACCGGCCACAUUGGGACUGAGACACGGCCCAAACUCCUACGGGAGGCAGCAGUGGGGAAUAUUGCACAAUGGGGGAAACCCUGAUGCAGCAACGCCGCGUGAGUGAAGAAGUAUUUCGGUAUGUAAAGCUCUAUCAGCAGGG